This 460-nucleotide ribosomal RNA is filed under the name uncultured bacterium. RNAcentral's name for it is "partial 16S ribosomal RNA". It matches the Rfam family "Bacterial small subunit ribosomal RNA", at positions 338 to 795 of the family's 1533-position model. The record is from RNAcentral.
CCUACGGGAGGCAGCAGUGAGGAAUAUUGGUCAAUGGCCGGAAGGCUGAACCAGCCAUGCCGCGUGAAGGUCAGUGCCCUAUGGGCGUUAAACUUCUUUUGUGCGGGAGCAAUAAUGGUCACGUGUGGCCAGACGAGAGUACCGUACGAAUAAGCAUCGGCUAACUCCGUGCCAGCAGCCGCGGUAAUACGGGGGAUGCAAGCGUUAUCCGGAUUUAUUGGGUUUAAAGGGUGCGUAGGCUGUGAGGUAAGUCAGCGGUGAAAUGCCCCCGCUCAACGGGGUGAAGUGCCAUUGAUACUGCCUGGCUGGAAUGCGGAUGCCGUGGGAGGAAUGUGUGGUGUAGCGGUGAAAUGCAUAGAUAUCACACAGAACACCGAUUGCGAAGGUAUCUCACGAAUCCGCGAUUGACGCUGAUGCACGAAAGCGUGGGUAUCAAACAGGAUUAGAUACCCGUGUAGUC